AAUUGAAAUAGAAAACUUCGUUCCGCUACUUAGUAAUAAGUGUUGUUGUCCUGAAGAGCUUCAAACUUCUUUUGUCCAUAAGUAAUACAUUAUGUUGGCUUAAGUGCGCAAUAAUGCGUAAUAACACAAUACAAAUUCAGGAGACAUAAAAUGUCUAAAACAACAGGUAUCGUUAAGUGGUUUAACGACGAGAAAGGUUUCGGCUUCAUCACUCAAGAUAACGGCGGUGCUGACGUAUUCGUUCACUUCCGUGCAAUCACUGGUGACGGAUUCAAAUCUCUUGCUGAAGGCCAGAAAGUAUCUUUUGACGUUGAGCAAGGCCAGAAAGGUCCUCAAGCUGCAAACGUUGAAAUCGCAUAAUUCGCUAAUUAAUUAGUGAUCUUAAAAGGGUAUCUUACGAUACCCUUUUUGUU
Molecule: small RNA, 413 nt
Filed under: Photobacterium profundum SS9
Lineage: Bacteria; Pseudomonadati; Pseudomonadota; Gammaproteobacteria; Vibrionales; Vibrionaceae
Description: cspA thermoregulator
Rfam family: cspA thermoregulator
Source: Rfam by way of RNAcentral